AGCUCCCCGAGAACAAAGCUGUGCAUGAGGUCAGGAGGCGCAGAGAGCGAACCGGAGCAGCGCCGUGCUGACGAGAGCCAGGAGUUGGCUGUGGGAGAGAGCAGGGUUAUUGCUUGAUGGGUGGUGGGGAGAUAGGAGGGAAAGGGACCAGGACAGCCAAAACUGGCACGUGGACCCCCUGCCCAUUCCCCACACUGGCAGACAUCACUAAUCGCCCUGCCUGACCCUGCUGAGUCUUCUCAUUGGGCAGCCCAGAGAGAGUUGGCUGGUGCGAGGAGCCUGUUGUUCAUGCCUGGGCUUGCACACACACUUGAAGGACCAUGAGAGGGAAUCCCGGGAAGGGACGAGUGAAGGCACAGAGAGAGGUGGCCUGGAGGAGCCAGGGCCUCCCCUCCUUGCAGCCAUGGCCUUAGGAGGGGCGGAGUGCUCUGUGUGUGAGUCUGGGCUUACCCGAUGCUAGAGCAGGUCCCUCCCUGCUUCAGGUCAUGCUGUGCAAAAGCCCAAGAGGGUGUCAGCUACUGCUGCCACGCAGACAUGGGCGUGCUCACCGUGGCCCACCAUCUGGCUGUCCCAAGGAGGCACAGCAGGUUUCCUGUUACCUUGGCACACUGGCAUGGGGGUGGCAUCUGCCUGUAGGUUCCGACGGCAGAACCUGCAAGCAGAACAAGGAGUUGUGGCUUGCUGGGGAGACUUCAGGAAGACACUGGUGUGAUUCAGCAGCUGAACCUCCAGGGGCCUGUUGAUUGCAUCAGUGGCAGUGCAGGGGCAAGGCUAGAGGAGGGAAGGUGGCUCUGCACGCUCAGUGGCUACAUCUUGUGUGGAGCAGUGGAGAAAGCAGACUCGUGGGCAGAGUGCACUGCAGAAAGUGGCCAGGGUGCACAGCAGUCCAAGCAGGGCGCCCAUCUGGAAGGAGUGCUCCAAGGAGCUCAGGCCGAGGAGUUAGGGGAUCAUUUCUUUUAAAAGAUGUAUUUAUUUAUUAGAAAGUCAGAGUUACACACAGAGAGAAGGAGAGGCAGAGAGAGAGAGAGAGAGAGAGAGAGAGAGAGAGGUCUUCCAUCCUCUGGUUUACUCUCCAGAUGGCUGCAACAGCCAGAGCUGAGCUGAUCUGAAGCCAGGAACCAGUAGCUUUCUCCAGGUCUCCCACGUGGGUGCAGCGGCCCAAGCACUUGGGCCAUCUUCUACUGCUUUCCCAGGUACAUUAGCAGAGAGCUGCAUCAGAAGUGGAGCAGCCAGGACUCGAACCAGCACCCACAUGGGAUGCCGGCUCUGCAGGAGGCGGCCUCACCCACUACGCCAGAGCGCCAGCCCCAGGUGAUCAUUUUUAACCUGCUGAAUCCAUGUUUCUCAAAAUAUGCUUCUUGGCAUGCUAGUUUCUUGAGGUUGUUCUGGACGGUCCCACCGAGUGCGUGGGAGCGCAGUAAAGGCUCUGAGAAGUCCUGCAGUGAGGAACGGUGCUGAGCAUAGAAUUUCCCCAGACAUGGUCAGGCACAGGAACUCUGUCAGUUCAACAGCAGUUUUCCUCCUGCAGAACAGGGGCCCACCUGGGGCAGAGAGAGCCACGUGUCCUGUGUGGUCCCCGAGGUGGUGUCUGGGCCAACAUGGGGACAUGGCCAAAGGCAGAUUUGGGCUCAUUUCCAGGAAGAGCCUUGCCACAGCAGCAGGGGUUUGACCCUGCGAGUGAGAAGGGGUUCUAAAUUCUUUUUUUUUUUUUUUUUGACAGGCAGAGUUAGAGAGAGAGAGAGACAGAGAGACAGAGAGACAGAGAGACAGAGAGAAAGGUCUUCCUUUUCCACUGGUUCACCCCCUAAAUGGCCACUACAGCCGGCGCACUGCGCCGAUCCGAAGCCAGGAGCCAGGUGUUUCUCCUGGUCUCCCAUGGGGUGCAGGGCCCAAGCACUUGGGCCAUCCUCCACUGCCUUCCCGGGCCACAGCAGAGAGCUGGACUGGAAGGGGAGCCACCGGGACAGAAUCCGGCACCCCAGUGGGGACUAGAACCCCGGGGUGCUGGCGCCACAGGCGGAGGAUUAGCCAAGUGAGCCACAGGACACCAAGAGGCCUCAAGCCGAGUGUGGGCUCAUCAGGGAUGCCGCAGAAGGGACCAGGCUCUAGGUGCUGUCAUUGUUGAUGCCCAGGGUUCUGUGAGCCCUGGGUUAGGGGCCCCCUGGCUGCCCAGCAGGAGACUCUGCCCACAGAGCCUGCAGCUUGGCACGCAGUGCUGGGUGCCCCGGCCAGGAGCGGGGAUGCUGGACGUGAACAUUCAGGGAAGGUAAGACGUGAGCCCGCAAAUACCCUCGGGACAUCCCCAGUGCACAUCCCGAACUUUCCGUAGCCCGGGCAGCAGCUGGAGACGCCCACAGCCCUAAUUGCUUUUCUGGGCUAAGAGAACAUCCUCUCUCCAGCUCUCCUCCUGUUCAUUUAGGUGACUACUGGAGGGAGCCAGCUGCAGAGGGUGCCGCCACGAGGAUUGGACGCUGUGGGGGGUGGGGCUGGAAGCCCAAGGCUCCCCUCCCGGGGUGCGGGGUCCUGAGGACAGGAAGCUGCCGCCCUGAUCUCCGUGGCUGAUCUGCAGACUGACGGAGCUGCCUCUUCUCCAGGGACUUGAGAUUCAGAGUCUGGGGAAGGACCAGGUACAGGCACGGGGCUGGGCCGGGUGGAGGGGAUGACUCACCCCACCGCGUUGCUCAGGGUGCCAGCUGAGUCUCACGCUGGGCUGCUGGGGCACAGAGCCCAGCCCCAAAGCUCACAGGCCAGGGAGAAAGCAUCUCUGAGCAAGGAAAGGGCUGAGGUUGAGGGUCACUUUCAGGACUGGGGUGUACGGAGGAUGGCGACAUUGACUGUGUCUUGGGGACGGAGGGUCAGGGAGGACUUCCUGGGAGAAGAGACAGUGGGAUCGGGUCUGGCAAUUGUGCAUGAUUCAGAGAGGAAAGAGUUGCCUGCGCUCAGGGGUUUUUGCAACAGAGGGCCCAGUUUCCUGUGGGCUUCCCGGCCCCCAGAUGCCAUGUGCUCUGUGCCCUGGCCUCCUAGUCUCUAGUGGUCACACAGGCCUCCUGCAGACCCUCCUUGAGGCUUCCAUUAUAGCAACUCUCAGCGGAGAGUGGCUUGCUGGAAGCUGGGCCCUGGAUGGCUGGCCGGGGUGGGUGCCACGGGACCCCCGGGGCGGUGGAGGGGAGGACUGAGCCUCUCUUACGAGGGACCCUGGGGAGGGCGGCGGCCCCAGGCGCUCUGCCCAUCAGGCUUCCUGUGGGUGGCAAGUGAACCUUUUCUUUCUGGUUCUCUCCCAGAAGCCGGCUCCGUUCCCCCAGCCCCAAGUGGCGGCUCCUUGGGCCGGAAGCAAUGUGCUUUCUCCACGCCUUAAGAGUGGAAGUCACAGUUUGGCACCGUCUGGCUGGCAGCCUCCACCGGCUUCCUUUGGCACUUUAUUGGCAAAGGCGGUGACAUUUCUUUCAGUUGGGUGGGUGGAGCUGUUAUGCAAACGCCCGCUCUCCUCAUUCGCCGGAUGAAUAUUCAUGACUCAGGCAAUCUGUACCAGCCAGACUUUCCUGAGGGCGGCAGCUUUUCUUCUCUUCCUCUCCCUCUUUUUCUUUCUCCUUCUCUCCUUCCCAGCUCUCUGGAAAGCCCAAGUGCGGCUAUAUUUAAUUUACAAAUACAGAGCUGUUUAGCUUGCCUUUUGCGAUGCAGGCUUUGAGGAGGCGGUGCAGGGGAGUGGGAGCCGUGGUUGGUGGAGGCCCUGGGUCCUGACCCUGUGUCUGCAGGCCCCAGCACACAGCACCUGAGCCCUGGAUCCCGGGAAGCCUCUGAGCCGGGCCUGAGAGCACAGUGGCUUGUGCCACCCUGUCCCACGCUGGCCUCUGGGGUUGAUGGGAAAUUCGGAAGCCAUGCUGCUCUCCUGCCAGGCCCCACCAAGGCAUCACGGCUUGUGUGUCUGCUAAGGCUCACUGCCCCCCAUCCCCAACCCCGCUCCAAGCUCCAGGGCCAAGUCCAAGUCCAGAAGGCACUGGGCCAUUUGCUGGUGACUGGCUUCCCAGGAUCCCUAUCUGGGGCCCAAUUCCUUGGGAAUAUGCCGCACCCUUUCCUGCCUCCUUUGUCUCUUCCCAAAGAGGCUCUGGGAACUCCACCGGCAGAGGGGUCAGAAUUCCAAGAAUUUGCCAGGAGAUUCGCUUUUCGCAAGGAUGUGCUUGUGUGAGUGCGUCUUGUGUGUGUGUAAAUAUUUACGCACAGCGCAAGUGAGUCUGUAUGCCUACAUCUAUGUGUGUGUGUGUGUGUGUGUGUGUGUGUGUAAGGGCGUGAAUGUGUGUGUCGCAGGAAGGCUGGAAAUGUCUGCCUGUGCGAAUGUGCCUCUCCUGUCGGAGUUGCCUGGGUCCCUCAGUGGGUCUGUGGCUGUCGUGUGGAAGGGUGCCUGGGGGGGGGAGUGUGUGCAUGUAUGCUUGUGUGUGCACAUGUGUGUGUGUGAGUAUAUAAAAGGGACCCUCGGGAGGUGGGGGGGAGGUAGGGUGCAUUUCCCUCCCCACCCUCCGUCCCUGGGAGGUGGAGGGGGACAGUCCCCUUCCCACGGGUCACAGAUUCCACCCGAGGACAGGAGCCAGCAGGCUUCGCAGCACACAGCGUCCUGAAGGCACUUGACAUUGCCUCCCCUCUUUGUUUCCUCUCAGGAAAAUAGUGGGGCGUUGGGCUCCCCCUUCUCCCCACCAGGAGGGCACGGGGUGCCCGUGCCUCUGACCCCCCGGGAGAGCACCUUGCGCCCCAGCCAAGGAGCUGUCUCGCAGGGCUCCUUGUGCCACGGCGGCCCGGGCCUCAGUGGCGAGAGCCAGCUGCCUCCCUGUGUGCCAGCAACUGCCAAGCUCUUCCAGAAUCCACAUCCAGGCCUGGCCUCCCUUACAGAUAUGCAAAUUUGCAUCUUUUCUGGUAUGCAAAUGGAGACGUGACAAACAGCUAAUUAGGGUCAAAAGAAGCACUCAGAACCAAUUAGUUGGAGGGUCCAGCCCUUUCUGCCAGGAGAAGGCUGGGCCUUCCAGCUCUGCUCCCAGCUCUGACUCCUCGUUGCCCACGCACCCCGGCAUGGCCUGGCCCGUGGGAGCCUUGCCUUCCAAGAGCACUGGAACAGGAGUCCACGCUGGGGUCCCGGCCCCGCCUCUGACUCUUGGCGGCCUGACCCUGGGCUCACAUUUGCCCAGGCCUGGGUCUUUGCCUCUGUGAGAGGCAGCAGUGACAGUGCCCCUUCCCCCUGGCCAUCUGCCACACUGUCGUCUGAAUUGGGAGCGCUCGAGCCUUAACAGUCUCCGCAAACUGGACCCAACUUUCUCUGCCAGCCAGCACAGAAAAGACUUUACACAACUAGAGAACAGGAAGACUUGUCCAUCGGCCAGCAGCCAGCCCCUGUCCUCAGUUGUCUUACGCAUUCACAGUGGACCAGAGAGUAGCACAGCGGUCAGGAUGGAAGCCAUGCCCAGCCCGAACAGCACGGGCCCCCUCUAGCUAGUGAAGCUCCCAGAUGUAUGACCCGGGGCAGCAGAGACUAACAUCAGCGUGCUGCUGGUCCUGGUAGGGAAUGACCAGCCAUCUGGGACAACUGUCCCUGAAGACAACAGUGAAGUGUGCUUACUGAGACGGACAAAUAUUCAGACAUGCCCACGGUGCUGACGCUGGCACUCACUGGCUGAGCUUCCAGAGUGUUUGACUUGGUGACGUGGACUCUCACACAUCGUCCUCUCGGAUUGAGACUCCCAGUGGACACUGGGAGAUGCUGGUCCUAUUAUACACCACGUGACUCAGAAGCUGCUGCCUGGUAGAAUGUUGGAAUGGUCUCUUCAAAACUCAGCGAAGGUGGCAGCUCUAAGGCUGGGAUUCUGUUCUCCGGGAUGUGGUACAUGAGGUCACUUCAAACAGUUCCUGAAAAAAUGGAAUGGAAAGAUAGAUGGGAAAGAGAAGUUUGCAGAGGUGGAAAUGACGAUACAGUUAAGAAUGAACAUGAUAAUCGAGCUAAGAAGAAUGAGAACCGGCCAAGUCUUCUGACUUCACAUCCCACACUUCCCAGCGCUCAUCUCAUGGAAGGCUUAGGUUUGGUUGAGUUGGUUCAUCUGGCUUAGGCCAGCAGCAGUGCCAAAAGGUGCAACUCAAGUUGUAGGAGAGAGGAUACACCUGCCAACUCAGCCAGGGAGGUGUGUGUGUGUGUGUGUGUGUGUGUGUGUGUGUUUUGCAGGGUGAGGCUAAAAUACUGAAACAUUCUCCCCAAGUCUCCGAGUCCCCAGUCCAUAGAAGGUGUAUUUUUGUCCCAUCCUUUCAACACCCUUCCAAGUCCAUCCCACUGAGAUUUAUUGUCUCAAAGGCCCUCUCCGACAGAAGCUGAUUUCAAAUCAAAGAGAAAAGCCAUCCCUUUAGCAUGGGUCUUUGUAUUCCGCAGUCCAACCCAAGUCAUCCGAAUAGAUCAAGACCUGGAGGAGGUCUGACGUCAGAACUCCGGUUUAGUUCUCUGUUGCUCUAUGACUUUGAGUGACCCCAGUUAUUCUCUGUCUCUCUCUGGGCCGCAGUUUCCCCACCAGUCCCAGAGGAGAGUCGCUCCGGCCGGACACUCCAUCACUCAAGGUUGCCCCCAUGCCUCCUACUCUGAGGGCAGGAGGGAGGGGUUACGGGGCAGUGGCAUCAAUUUCCUUCCUGGGAUGGCUCCUCUGAGCGCCAUAUUUCUUGCCUGUAGUGACCAGGGAAUUUUGCCCUAUUGAUUGUUUUCUGUAAUCGAGCUUAACAAAUAGAACUUCCCUCAAAUGAUUCUUCCAACUAAACUGAUAGAAAGCUAACCUUGUUAUAUUUAUUGACAGAACAUUGAAAUAAAUAUUAUAGGUCUAGAGGGAAUGUUUCAGCUCAUUGAUUUUUUUAAGGAAAUAAUAAAUGGAGCCUAUUCCCUUUGGCAUAUUAUGCUGGGAAUAAUCUGAAAAAAUGCUUAGCUUGUUCAACACAGAGCUUAGAAACCUUCCUUCCACUCCCAGUGGAGCCGGGGCCCUUUGCAUAAAUCUGCUCUGGCCCAGACAAUCAAUUUUCAAUUUUAAUUAUUUUCAAAACUCGUUUAUUAUUUGCUUGUUCUGUGAGUUGGGAGCUUCUCUUUCUUAGUGAGUUUGCAGUCAGAGUGGUUUGACCUCUGGCCUGGAUCUGGGUGCUUGGGGUUUCUUAGUUCUACCUACAGAGAGGAAAACUCACCACCCCUCUUGUCAAGGACUUUUGUUCUAGAACAGAGGUCUGCAAACUGUGUCCCAUGGGCCCAACCCAGCCGACUGCCUGUUUUGUAAAUAAUUUUCUUUUAAGAUUUAUUUAUUGGGGCCGGCACUGUCAUAUAGUGGGUAAAGCCACUGCCUGCAGUGUUGGCAUCCCAUAUGGGUGCUGGUUCAAAACCUGGCUACUCCACUUCUGAUCCAGUUCUCUGCUACGGCCUGGGGAAGCAGUAGAAGAUGGCCCAAGUCCUUGAGCCCCUGCACCCAUGUGGGAGACCUGGAAGAAGCUCCUGGCUCCUGGCUUCGGAUUGGUGCAGCUCCAGCCGUUGCGGCCAUCUGGGGAGUGAACCAACAGAUGGAAGACCUCUCUCUCUCUCUCUGCCUCUCCCUCUCUCUCUGUUUAACGUGACUUUCAAGUAAAAAAUAAAAAUAAAUCUUUAAAAAUGAUUUAUUUAUUUAUUUGAAAGGCAGAGUUACAGCAAAAGAGAGAGAGAGAGAGAGAGAGAGAGAGAUCUCCUAUCCCCUGGUUCACUCUCCAAAUGUCUGCAACCAGCAGCCAGGAAUGGUCCAGGCUGAAGCCAGAAGCCAUAAGCUUCAUCUGGGUCUCCUACAUAUGUGCAGGGACCCAAGCACUUGGGCCAUCUUCUGCUGCUUUCCCAGGCUCAUUAGCAGGGAUUGGAAGUGGAGCAGCUGGGACUCAAACCAGUGCUCAUAUAGGAUGCCAAUGUCACAGGCAGCGCCCUAACUGCUAGGCCACAAACACCGGCCUCUGUGCAUAGUCAGUUCCGGGAAGACAGUCACACCCUUUGUGGGCAUGGCGUGUCGUCUGUGAAUGGUUUCUGCCACCGUGGCAGGGGCAAGCAGUCACAGUAGGAAACAAACGGCCCCCGAUGCCCGAAAUCUCUACUCUCUUGGUCCUCUGCAGCAAAGUUUGUGGACCCCUAUUCUAGAAUUUUCUCUCUCAGAGUCCAGCAUGUGUCACCCACUACAAUGGCCUGGAUAAGAGCCGGCUCCCAAAUUCACGCAGAGAGUAAAACCUGAAGGCCAGAAGUUGAUGGUGCUAAGAGCAGAGAAGAAAUGCAGUUGAUGUGGUUAGGCCUGGUGGGCAGGCCCUCGGUGCCUGGGGCGCGCCCAGGGAAGGUUGGGGGAAGCCUGAGCGGGCCCCGCCUUGCUCUCUGCUGCCUGGCUCGUCGUGGAGCCUUCUCUGCGCCUCGCCUGUGUCGUCCACCACCCUCGCCAGAGGCCCAGCAGUGCAGGCUGUCCCAGCUUGGACCUGAACCUCCAAAACUGUGAGCUAAAUAAAUCUUUUGUAUUUAUGAAGGUGGUUGCCUUGGGCGUUUUGUUGUAGCACUGAGAAGUGGCUCAUGCACCCACUCACUUGGGAGGAUCUCCCUGCACAGAGCGGAUCCCACCAUAGCAAUGUAGCCCACCCUUGCAUGGUGUUCUCAGGGGGUCUCGGGUGCUCGGCAAUUUGCUAUCUGUAUCUUAUUAAGGGUGACACAUAGCAUAUUAAGGGUGACAUAUAUAUAUAUAUAUAAAUAUAUUAAUUUUCAUAUCUUUAGAACUACAUUAUGAGACAAGGCUGUUAUUAGUUCUGUUGCAAACAUGAAGAAACCGAGGCACGGACAAGUUAGGGAACACACCCAGUGCCACAGAGCAGGAACUUAGACCCAGGCAGACUGGCUGCAGCCAUAGUGUCAGAGGUGGUGGCUUCUCAGAGAAGGUCUGGGUCAAUGUCCCCAAAGUACAUAUGGGGACACCAAGGCGAAAGUAGCCGCCGUGUAGUCGGUGGUCGGUGGUAGAGUGGAAGUAGAAAUGCAGACAGCAUCAGUUCCAGGCCCUGGCCCUUUCUGUCACUGGGGUCCAAGGGUUCUGCUCAGCUUCUCCUUAUUAGAGUUAAGCUGGGGGAUGCAAAGACUGUGGAAGCAGAGCCUACCACUCCCCCCGCCCCCCGUCUUCCACCCCAGCGAGACUCUGAGGCCGGAGAGUCUGUGACAUCAGCCUGUACUUUUCUUUUUCACCUUCUCAUGUUGGUGGAGGGAUUUGCUCCCUGGCUUGAGGCUUCUUGCUUUGGGCCACCUUUCGGGACCUGCGUGGUCGUUAGCUGUCCCCUGGGAGAAAAGACCACCCAUGGAGACUCACAUGCAGCCAGGGUCUGGGCUACACAUCUGCUGGUCUUCCCCAGUGAAAGAGAAACCAUUCCUCGACCCUUGGCCUUCCUGGCUUACCCUGUCUUUGGCCUCUGAUCCACGGUCAAGCACGGGGUGGAACGAGGUUCUACCCUGUUGCUGUCUCCAUAGUGGCAGGGGCAAGUAGUCGCAAUAGGAAAUGUCGCAUCCAUAGCUCACCACACUGCCAUCUGGGGCCCAUCCAGACCCCCUUUCCGAGGCUGCUCUGAGGAGGCCCCCGAAGAUCCCCAAGUUGCAGGGCAGUGCUUGCUGGUCUGAGUCUCCAGGGUCUCUCCUGCCGUCGACACUGGCAGCCCCCCGCUUCUCCUCACCUGUUCUCCUCCCUCGCCACACUCACCUUCUCAGCGCCAUUUUUCUGGUUCUGUUUUGUGCUUUCUGUUACAUUUUGGGCACCCAUGGCCCUCGUCUUAUCCCAUUGAGGAUGAGGCCACACCUCCACCCACUUACACUCACUCUUCCACCUUGUCCCCAAAUCUCCAGCAGCCACCUACAUUCCCUGCCUGGACUCCAAAAUGCACUAACGACCGGACUCACCUGCGAGCCCCUCAGGAGCUUCAAAACCAAGUUCCCAGCACUGGGCUCACGUAGCCCCUCCCCUAAAUGACCAGUAUUGAUGAAUUUUCAUCAGUCACCAAGCUGCUCAAGCCCAGGGCUUCUGCUGACUCAUCACCUGUCUAGCAGGAUCUGCUGAUCCUGGUUCUUAAAUAUUUCACAUUUAUUUUCUCCGUUUCACACUUUUUUAAAAAAAAAUUAUUUAUUCAUUUGAAAGUUACAGAGAGAGAGAGAGA
Oryctolagus cuniculus (rabbit) is the source of this 10173-nucleotide non-coding RNA. Lineage: Eukaryota; Metazoa; Chordata; Mammalia; Lagomorpha; Leporidae. The record is from RefSeq and is a predicted model, not a curated record.